AGAACGAACGCUGGCGGCAGGCCUAACACAUGCAAGUCGAGCGCUCUCUUCGGAGGGAGCGGCGGACGGGUUAGUAACGCGUGGGAACGUGCCCUUCUCUAAGGAAUAGCCACUGGAAACGGUGAGUAAUACCUUAUACGCCCUUCGGGGGAAAGAUUUAUCGGAGAAGGAUCGGCCCGCGUUAGAUUAGAUAGUUGGUGGGGUAACGGCCUACCAAGUGUACGAUCUAUAGCUGGUUUUAGAGGAUGAUCAGCAACACUGGGACUGAGACACGGCCCAGACUCCUACGGGAGGCAGCAGUGGGGAAUCUUGGACAAUGGGCGCAAGCCUGAUCCAGCCAUGCCGCGUGAGUGAUGAAGGCCUUAGGGUCGUAAAGCUCUUUCGCCUGUGAAGAUAAUGAC
RNAcentral lists this ribosomal RNA (401 nucleotides) under Tritonibacter scottomollicae. Its description in RNAcentral is "bacterial SSU rRNA". It matches the Rfam family "Bacterial small subunit ribosomal RNA", at positions 26 to 455 of the family's 1533-position model. Lineage: Bacteria; Pseudomonadati; Pseudomonadota; Alphaproteobacteria; Rhodobacterales; Paracoccaceae. The record is from RNAcentral.